Gossypium arboreum is the source of this 710-nucleotide long non-coding RNA. RefSeq lists it as uncharacterized. The transcript is spliced from 2 exons. The record is from RefSeq and is a predicted model, not a curated record. NCBI's taxonomy places the organism in Eukaryota, Viridiplantae, Streptophyta, Magnoliopsida, Malvales, Malvaceae.
UGCAAGAAAAGCGUCGCUAAAGGUCAUGAUCUUUAGACAUAUUAUUUUAAUAAAUUAGUGUUGGAAGUGGUGAUCCUACAUAUGUCCUACGUUGUACAAGUUAAGUGCUCCCGCCCCUCCUCAGCCCCUCUUUAGCUAGUAUAUGGGCUAACUACCAUCUACCUCAGUAAUUCUGGUCAUCAUGUUCUGCAUUCAACGAUUUGGAACUGACAAAUUGGGAUAUUCACUUGCAUCAAUCAUAUGCCUGUGGUUUACCUUGCUAAGUGGUAUUGGUUUGUACAACCUCUUCACAUAUGGUUGGGGUGUGUUACGUGCGUUUAAUCCGUUGCAUAUAGUGGACUACUUCAAAAGACGCGGUAAGAACUGGUGGAUAUCACUUGGAGAAGUAGUACUUUGCAUUACCAGUGAGUGCUUCUAGCUUUUACUUUAUAUCUUUUUGUUAUUUUAAUACCCUUCCCUGUUAUGUCUAAAUUGUAUGGACAUUUGACAAUAGAAGCCGAGGCUAUAUUUGUUGAUUUGGGUCACUUCAGUGUUCGAGCGGUUCAAGUAAAUUAUUUACUUCAUGCAACCAGUGGAAAAUAGGAUGGUUUAAUAGGAAACUGUUGUACAUAUAUAUUAUUCAACAUUUGUGUGUUUGUGCAUGAACAUCUUUACCUGACUCUUCAUUACCAUUUUUAUGGCACCUUAUUUCAUUUUCUCAGCGAUCAAAA